AAACAACAAAGACAAGAAGGCGCUCAUCUGAAGACACCCAGAAAAACCUCCUUGGUUACACUUAACACUAGCCACCCACUCCUUGCAGCAAGAAGCAGCUGGGUAAAAAAUGAAACACAUCUACUCUAUGCUUGGUUUAAAUAAAAAAAUAAAAGAAAAGAGGUGUAUGUAUGUCUCAUGGCCAGUCCCGAAAGGUAAUGGCAGCGAUGCUGCUUCUCCAGGCGAUGGAAUAUGAGACCAUCAUCAGGUGGAGGAACUUCCUGAAAGGAUUGAACUUUCUAGAAGAACCAUCAACACCCAAAGAACUUUCUAUGUGACGUUUACUUAGGAAUUUACAAAAAUGAUUGGUUUGCUCCAACAAGUUAAGAAGAUUUUCACCCAGAAAAAUCUCCUUCGUCACACUUAACACUAGCCACCCACACCCUGUAGUGGGAAGUGGUUGGGUAAAAACACGAAACACAACUACUCUAUGCUUAGUUUUAAUAAAAAUACAAAAGAAUAAAGAUGUAUGUAUGUCUCAUGGCCAGUCCC
This 531-nucleotide long non-coding RNA is filed under the name Phoenix dactylifera (date palm). RNAcentral describes it as "long non-coding RNA (PDAC_LNC022389)". Lineage: Eukaryota; Viridiplantae; Streptophyta; Magnoliopsida; Arecales; Arecaceae. The record is from RNAcentral.